RNAcentral lists this ribosomal RNA (495 nucleotides) under uncultured bacterium. Its description in RNAcentral is "partial 16S ribosomal RNA". It matches the Rfam family "Bacterial small subunit ribosomal RNA", at positions 28 to 507 of the family's 1533-position model. The record is from RNAcentral.
GAUGAACGCUGGCGGCGUGCCUAAUACAUGCAAGUCGAACGCUGAAGGAGGAGCUUGCCCUUCUGGAUGAGUUGCGCACGGGUGAGUAACGCGUAGGUAACCUGCCUGUUAGCGGGGGAGAACUAUUGGAAACGAUAGCUAAUACCGCAUGACAACAGUUAUUGCAUGAUAAUUGUUUAAAAGGGGCAACUGCUCUACUACCAGAUGGUCCUGCGUUGUAUUAGCUAGUUGGUGAGGGAACGGCUCAACAAGGCGACGAUACAUAGGCGACCUGGGAGGGUGGUCGGCCACAAUGGGACUGGGACACGGCCCAGACUCCUACGGGGGGGAGCAGUAGGGGAUCUUCGGCAAUGGGCGGAAGUCUGACCGGGCAACGCCGCGUGGGUGGAGAAGGUUUUCGGAUCGUAAAGCUCUGUUGUAAGGGAAGAACGAGUGUGGGAGUGGAAAGUUCACACUGUGACGGUAUCUAACCAGAAAGGGACGGCUAACUACGUG